This 25-nucleotide non-coding RNA is filed under the name Mus musculus (house mouse). Lineage: Eukaryota; Metazoa; Chordata; Mammalia; Rodentia; Muridae. The record is from RNAcentral.
UUUCCAGCUUAGGACUCAGGAGUGC